RNAcentral lists this ribosomal RNA (889 nucleotides) under uncultured bacterium. Its description in RNAcentral is "bacterial SSU rRNA". It matches the Rfam family "Bacterial small subunit ribosomal RNA", at positions 28 to 896 of the family's 1533-position model. The record is from RNAcentral.
AACGAACGCUGGCGGCGUGCCUAACACAUGCAAGUCGAGCGCGAAUAGGGGCAACCCUUAGUAGAGCGGCGCACGGGUGCGUAACACGUGGGUAAUCUGCCUGGGAGAUUGGGAUAACCACCCGAAAGGGUGACUAAUACCGAAUAAGCCCACGAGUCCUUCGGGACUUGAGGGAAAAGGUGGCCUCUGCAUGCAAGCUACCACUUCCAGAUGAGCCCGCGGCCCAUCAGCUAGUUGGCGGGGUAACGGCCCACCAAGGCAACGACGGGUAGCUGGUCUGAGAGGACGAUCAGCCACACUGGAACUGAGACACGGUCCAGACUCCUACGGGAGGCAGCAGUGGGGAAUUUUGCGCAAUGGGCGAAAGCCUGACGCAGCAACGCCGCGUGUGUGAUGAAGGUCUUCGGAUCGUAAAGCACUUUCGACCGGGACGAAAACCUGAGCGCUAACAUCGUUCAGCUUGACGGUACCGGGAGAAGAAGCACCGGCUAACUCCGUGCCAGCAGCCGCGGUAAUACAGAGGGUGCAAGCGUUGUUCGGAAUUAUUGGGCGUAAAGCGCGUGUAGGCGGCCUAGCAAGUCGUGUGUGAAAGCCCUCGGCUCAACCGAGGAAGUGCGCAUGAAACUGCUGGGCUUGAGUGCCGGAGAGGGUGGCGGAAUUCCCCAAGUAGAGGUGAAAUUCGUAGAUAUGGGGAGGAACACCGGUGGCGAAGGCGGCCACCUGGACGGUCACUGACGCUGAGACGCGAAAGCGUGGGUAGCAAACAGGAUUAGAUACCCUGGUAGUCCACGCUGUAAACGAUGAGAACUAGGUGUCGCGGGAGUUGACCCCUGCGGUGCCGGAGCUAACGCAUUAAGUUCUCCGCCUGGGGAGUACGGCCGCAAGGCUA